AAGUCGUAACAAGGUUUCCGUAGGUGAACCUGCGGAAGGAUCAUUAAUGAAAAGGGGUUGUGUGUCACGCAUGCGUGGACCACGCCCAACCACAUCCACACCUGUGAACUGUUUGCCGCUGUGUUUUGAACUCGACGGUCCAUUCAACAACGUCUUAGAAUGUAACAAUCUAUAAACAAUACAACUUUUAGCAACGGAUCUCUUGGCUCUCGCAUCGAUGAAGAACGCAGCGAAAUGCGAUAAGUAAUGUGAAUUGCAGAAUUCAGUGAAUCAUCGAAUCUUUGAACGCACCUUGCACCCUUUGGUAUUCCGAAGGGUAUGCCUGUUUGAGUGUCUUGAACAUCUCAAUACCCUAGAUUUUGUUAUCUUUGGGUUUUUGGUUCUGAGCGUUUGCCACCCCGUGGCUCGCUUUAAAUGAAUUAGCUGGGCGUGACUGUACAACGUCGGCUCACAAGCGUAAUAACUAUUUCGUUUGUCGUCGUCGUUUCACAGUGUCGGCCAGCUUAGCACGUGCGUUUCAAAACCACAUUUUUCAUCAGACCUCAAAUCAGGUAGGACUACCCGCUGAACUUAAGCAUAUCAAUAAGCGGAGGAAAAGAAACUAACAAGGAUUCCCCUAGUAACGGCGAGUGAAGCGGGAAGAGCUCAAAUUUGAAAUCUCAUCGUCUCAGGCGGUGCGAGUUGUAAUCUAGAGACGUGUUUUCCGUGCUGGCCCGCGUACAAGUCCCUUGGAACAGGGCGUCAUAGAGGGUGAGAAUCCCGUACUUGACGCGGACAAACCAGUGCAUUUGCGAUACACGUUCAAAGAGUCGAGUUGUUUGGGAAUGCAGCUCAAAACGGGUGGUAAAUUCCAUCUAAAGCUAAAUAUUGGCGAGAGACCGAUAGCGAACAAGUACCGUGAGGGAAAGAUGAAAAGCACUUUGGAAAGAGAGUGAAAUAGUACGUGAAAUUGCUAAAAGGGAAACGCUUGAAGUCAGUCGCGCCUGAGGGACAGAGGGGCAACUUUCUUCCCAACUGGCGGGUCAGCAUCAGUUUCGCUCGUUUGUAUAAAGGCAGUCGGAAUGUGGCUUUUCGGAGUGUUAUAGCCCUCUGUCGGAUGCUACGGGAAAAUGUCGGGACUGAGGAAUGCAGCGCGCUUGCGGCCUAAUGGCGAGCAAGUCGGUCGGCCCUCCUCACAAGGGGGGGCUCACACGUUCACGUGCUUAGGAUGCUGGCAAAAUGGCUUUAAACGACC
Molecule: ribosomal RNA, 1234 nt
Filed under: uncultured fungus
Lineage: Eukaryota; Fungi
Description: eukaryotic LSU rRNA
Rfam family: Eukaryotic large subunit ribosomal RNA (bases 538-1234)
Source: RNAcentral